CCUCUCACAUGCAAACAGUGUUAGCUAGCAUUCCAGGACCAGAUAUCAAUAAAGGACCCGGCAUUCAGUGUGCUGUGCACCAACUCUCUCAAAGCAUUUGAGGCAAAGAAGAGGAGGAGGUGACAGGCAUGAGAAAGUCUGGAUGAUCAAACCAGCAAGAAAGCCACUUCCAUUCUUUUAUGAAGAGACAUCCUGGAGAGACUUGCUGUACUCAAACAUUCCUGCAAUGGUUUGCCUCCUGGACUGGUCAGAAUGUGGCUGCUCUAUCCUACAUGGGCAAGGGUAAAGAAUAGCCCUGAGAUACUCCAGAAGAGACAGCAUGUGAUCUGGUGGUGGGAUUCAGAGGUCUGAAGUCUCUCUCUUGCUCUGUCAAGCACGUGCUCUUCAGGUUUGGUGCGGACUUGUCUGCUGGAGCUGGACCCUGCAGCUGCCCUGACAGUAUCUGGACCCAAACUGCUCAAGCAGCAAGUCUCCCAGCUCAGGCAGCACCACAAGCCAGUGUCUGCUCAGCUAUAUCCAGCCCUGAAGGAUUGAAGCUCCCAUUGUCUGCCAAGUAUCAAACAUGGAGAACGUGGCCCUGGCAGACGAGGCCACGCAGCAGCUUCAAUGUGUGGGUGCCUCCAAGUCCUUCUCAACAGCAGUCUGAAUUCAGCGGUUCACAAACGCAAAGUUGUGCUAUGGGAAGAUUACUGACGGCUCAUUGACAAGAACUGGAAUAUGCAACCUGCAUACAAGGACGUUUUGAUAUCUUUGUCCUGGUGAAGUGAGGAGUCUGGAAUUAAACUACAUGUAAUACACACCAGGGCAUAGGACAGCACUCAGUCUUGUGUGUUGGUGCUCACCGCACCUUACCAUUUAAAGGAUCUCCCUGCUCAGCACUGUGAAAAGACCCACAUCAGCCUGCUGGGCAGAC
RNAcentral lists this long non-coding RNA (913 nucleotides) under Gallus gallus (chicken). RNAcentral's name for it is "lncRNA (ENSGALG00010026773.1)". Lineage: Eukaryota; Metazoa; Chordata; Aves; Galliformes; Phasianidae. The record is from RNAcentral.